GUAUCAUUCGCCGCCCCAACUGCCUAAGUUCCACUUGAAUGUGACCAAUGACCAUGGAGGGUGCCAGUCCCGUAUGGCGGAAUUGCAGUCCCCGACAGGGGGCACAGGGGCGGCGGCGUAGGGCCUAUCCGCAGAGUCGGGUUGCUUGAUAAUGCAGCCCUAAGAAGGUGGUAAACUCCAUCUAAGGCUAAAUAUUCCCACGAGACCGAUAGCGAACAAGUACCAUGAGGGAAAGUUGAAAAGGACUUUGAAGAGAGAGUUCAAGAGUACGUGAAACCGUUAAGAGUUAAACGGAUGGUCCCUGUAGGCCGAACAGAGGGGAUUCAGCAGGUCGGCAGUCCGGUGGGAUGCGGGGUCUGAGAAUAAUUGAAUACCUUAAGUGACUCGCCUCGGCGGCGGCGGCGGCGGAGCUUAAACCCUCUUCCGCUGCUGCUGGUGCGGCGGGCACGCCCCGCUCUCAAUCUCGGGCGCCGGCACAGGCGUAUUUCCGCCUCCUAGUAGCUCACCGCGACUCGUCGCUCGGGGAUGUCGAAGGCCCGGUUGGAUUGGUACCCUUAGGGGGAAACCUCCGGUGAAAUUCCUGACAGCCCUGCGACGGUCAAAAAGUGGCAGAGAAGCUCGACGUACACGAGAAGGGGCGUCCGGCGGUUGCUUAUCGAGAACCUGAAGAGGAUGCUCAGGCCCGCCGGACGAUUCUCCCCGUAAGUCGUCUCGCAGCAUGCUCUUGCGGUGUUACACGAACAGAGGACCAACCGACCCGUCUUGAAACACGGACCAAGGAGUCUAACAUGUGUGCGAGUCAUUGGGUGCACUAAACCCAAAGGCACAAUGAAAGUGAUUCAAAAUCCUACCUUUGUUAUGCAAAAUACAGUCUAACGAUGAGAUGGGCCGAUCCCUAGGCCGACUGCCCGCUCGCGUGUGCGGCUUUCAGCUUUUCCCGGGCUGCUUGGGUGAGACCCUUUCCCCAACGCCCGGGGCCCAAAAGGCUGAUUGAUUCCGUCACCUUGCGUUGGCAUAGGCCCGAGCCUGCAAGGCGACAGGGGGGCGCAGGCCCGGGACUUUUUCCCAAAUGGUGCUGCGCUGUUGUUGCUGCGGCGGCUGGCUGGCUGGUG
RNAcentral lists this ribosomal RNA (1112 nucleotides) under Paguristes nr. moorei KC6863/ULLZ11765. Its description in RNAcentral is "eukaryotic LSU rRNA". It matches the Rfam family "Eukaryotic large subunit ribosomal RNA", at positions 158 to 790 of the family's 3401-position model. Lineage: Eukaryota; Metazoa; Arthropoda; Malacostraca; Decapoda; Diogenidae. The record is from RNAcentral.